This is a non-coding RNA of Paramuricea clavata, 73 nucleotides long. NCBI's taxonomy places the organism in Eukaryota, Metazoa, Cnidaria, Anthozoa, Malacalcyonacea, Plexauridae. The record is from the annotation of a GenBank genome assembly.
ACCUAGCGUAGCUCGGUUUGUAGAGCAUUGGACUAGUAUCCCAAAGAUUGCGGGUUCGAUUCCCACCGUGGUC